Molecule: ribosomal RNA, 537 nt
Filed under: Triticum aestivum (bread wheat)
Lineage: Eukaryota; Viridiplantae; Streptophyta; Magnoliopsida; Poales; Poaceae
Description: partial small subunit ribosomal RNA
Source: RNAcentral
AUGGACCAGAAUGCUGAUCAGGCUACGCCACAGACACACAAGCAGAGGAGGUUUUCUCGACGUCCAGCAAGGGAAAAUCGCAGCUUCAACUUACAAUGCAUCAAUAUUUCAAGAAGCAAUCAGACGGCAUCAAGCAAGCCCGCUAGCGUUAGAUAUACUCUAGCAAUUCAUCCUUGGGAAACGAAGCCCGAUGCACAUGCACGCGAGGUGUUCGCGCAAAUGCCUAAGAGAGACCGUACAGUGGUCGGCCAUGUCGAAGGUGGAGAGGCCGGCGUCGGCGUAGGCGAGCAUGGCGUCGACGGCGUCGGCGCGGUCGAUGCGGCCCCACCCGCCGCUGGUCUGCCACAUGCCGUUGAGCACCCGGCAGAUGGCCAGCGACGAGUCGGUCCCGCCGCGGCUGCUGGCGAGGGUCGCCGCCCUCGCGCCCGGGGUCGCCGACUCCACCGCCGGGCCCACGAACCCCGCGCACCUCGCGGGCCGCACGCGGCGCGGUGGAGUGGGCGCGGGCGGCGCCGGCGAGAGGGCGCGGGCUGCUGA